This 495-nucleotide ribosomal RNA is filed under the name uncultured bacterium. RNAcentral describes it as "partial 16S ribosomal RNA". The record is from RNAcentral.
GUAGUUAGCCGUGGCUUCCUCCUUAGGUACCGUCAUUAUCGUCCCUAAAGACAGAGCUUUACAAUCCGAAAACCUUCUUCCCUCACGCGGCGUUGCUGGGUCAGGCUUGCGCCCAUUGCCCAAUAUUCCCCACUGCUGCCUCCCGUAGGAGUCUGGACCGUGUCUCAGUUCCAGUGUGGCCGAUCAGCCUCUCAGCUCGGCUACCCAUCGUCGGCUUGGUGGGCUGUUAUCUCACCAACUACCUAAUGGGACGCGAACCCCUCUAAAAGCGAUAAAUCUUUGACCUCUUCCCGAUGCCGGGUUGUGGUCUUAUGCGGUAUUAGCAGUUGUUUCCACCUGUUAUUCCCCACUCUUAGGCAGGUUGUUCACGCGUUACUCACCCGUGCGCCACUAGAAUUAUCAAUUCCAUCCGAAAACUUCCUUAAUAAUCCCCGUUCGACUUGCAUGUGUUAGGCACGCCGCCAGCGUUCGUCCUGAGCCAGGAUCAAACUCUGA